Molecule: long non-coding RNA, 2393 nt
Organism: Manis pentadactyla (Chinese pangolin)
Lineage: Eukaryota; Metazoa; Chordata; Mammalia; Pholidota; Manidae
Exons: 6
Source: RefSeq, a predicted model, not a curated record
GCGUCGUUGAUACCCCUCUCUACCAUCCCCUCCCUCGUGGUCUCUCUCCUCUUUUUCUGAAAUUCAUUGUCCAGAUGUUGGGCCUUCUUGACUGGUGGUUUUCUUGCCUGCGCAAUUUUCUAUGUCUUUGUGUUCUACUUUAUAAUUUUCUCAAUUUGGCAAAUAUUCUAUCAAGUCAUCUUCAUUCAUUUAUUAUACUUUAAUUUCUAAGUGCUCUUUUUAAUCUCUGCUCUUUUUAUAACAUCGUGUUCUUUUUUCAUGCGGGUAGCUCCUCUUGUCUCUCAAGACAAAUUACGGGAUUUUAUUUUAAAAGGGCUUUCUAUGUAACCUGUGAAAAUUGAGGGAGGGAAGCAUGGCCGACGUGGUGCGGGAGGCCUGCAGGGGGCGCUCUCACGCCCACCCUCCGGGCCCAUUGUAGACCCCCCAGGAGAGAAGGGCGACUUACAACCAGCACUAUUUUGGCCACUUUCCCACCCAGUAGGAGAAGGGAAGAGUUUCUGUUCCCCAGCUCAUCCCCUUAGGGCCUCGCAACAGUUCACGCAAGAGAGGCUCACAACUCAGCCAAUGAGCAGCCAGGACAGGUGCUCCCAGCGGUGUGGGCCUCGCUGGCAAUGCCUGAAUAAGGGUGAUGCUCCAAAACGGUGGUUGGGACCAGGGGUCAGUUGCUGCCCACGGCAUAGGACGAUGGGGCAGGAGCCCAGCUGUUUCUUCCAAAGGGUAGGUUUGACCAAAUCUGGAAUACUUCUUCAGGGUGUCAGUGUCCACCAUCUUGAAACAAAGUAAUGAGUGAGGCCCUCACCCUACUAUGCCUAAUCCCAUGGUCCCUGUCUCACGGUUACAGAUACGGUGACUAAGACUCAGAGGGGCUGCGUGAGCUGCUCAGGGUCGUGAGUGCGGAAGGUGGAUUCGUACCCAUAUAGUCUGCCAGGCCAGGGUCGUCUCAGCACUCUGCAGUACUGUCCCAGCAGCCGUUAGUGCAGUUAUGGAGCGUCCCUCUAACUGCACUGAAAGAUCCGUAGUUCGGAGAGCCACUGGCAUUUUUAUCCUGUGGAAUGACUUGGGGAUUCCAUCUUUUUGACUGUAUUCUCUGACCCCUUGUAAUCAGAGAGCUCUAGGCCCUCUGUUUUCCAAAUGGAUGUCGGGGGAGGCCAUCAGGAGGAUGCGACGGCCGGUUAACCCUUGAGCUGGACCUGUGCGGUCGGAGGCACCUCACCCCUCCCCGCCCUUGGAAUGUGAGUUCCGCCUGCCUUCCCCACACUACAAGCUGCCCCGAGGACACAGCCUUGAGACAGUGAAGUGGUGUCGAGACCCUCUGGAUGGUACAGGACUGAAGCCAGAUGAAGCCUCUGCAUAAUCGUUCGUGCUAGUGAAUGAGUCGAGUGGUGAGAUGGGAAGGAGCAGAAGCUGAUUCCAGCCAGCAUCUCUGUGAGUCUCAGGCAUUGCUGUGCACACACGUCCCCCGGGAGCUUCCUGAACACGCAGCUUCUCAGACUCUGUUCUCAGAAACAUGCAUCUCGUGCACUUGGGGCGCUGGCCAGGAGUCUGCUCAUGUGCUGAGCAUCCCGGGCGAUUUUGGUGCAGGCGUUUGAGACCCACUCUUGAGAAGCACUGCUGUGAGGUGAUGAUUUUCACAGAAAACCAGGUUGUUGCACUUGCCGCAGUCAUGGAGGCAGUUUGGCUGUGGUGACCAACUUCCACAUAGCUACCUUGGAAACAGAGUUGGAACCUAGAAGAAAAUUUAAAAAUAAACCUCUUAUAACUGAGUAAUAAUCAAGAUGUAGAAACGAUUGAAAAAGUUACUCAUAAAAUUGGUUUGGAAUGCUAUAUCUAAAUAAUAAAUAAACCAAAGGAUCUGAUGCUCUUUGCAUCAGCAAACCAAUGAAUGUUGAUAUAUGUGAGAGAACAUAUAAAUGAGUUAUGAUGAUAAAAAAAUGAUUUUUCCAAAUUAAUCCUUUGCAGAAAACCCAAGGCCUUCCCUCCCCUUCCCCCCAACAGCAUGAGCAGCAGAGAUACAAGGAGCUUUCCUUGGCAACUAUCAGUUUAGUGUCUCUACUAUCAUUUCUGGCAUGUACAUCCUGUGUGCUUUACGCAGAUGGGGAUGAUUUAUACAUUGUCCAGUACGACUGUCCACUUGCACUUAGUUUCAAACCUGGUGAUGUGAUUCAGAAUCAAUGUAAAGAGAAAAAAAAUCCAGAGGCAAAAGAUUACAGUUUUCACCCUUUAUUGAAGUUUGUUCUAUUUGGGGCAAAGCCCAAGGCUGCUUGGAUCUUCUGGGCUUGAGCUCUAACAGGCCCAUGGGAGGUGAAGGUGCCACUAAGGGCACGUGCUGCUGCCGACCGUCUGUUUCUUCAUUGUGCAUUUUGUUACGGGAGCCAUAAACGCAUUUUCUUUCA